Molecule: long non-coding RNA, 1427 nt
Organism: Phyllopteryx taeniolatus (common seadragon)
Lineage: Eukaryota; Metazoa; Chordata; Actinopteri; Syngnathiformes; Syngnathidae
Exons: 3
Source: RefSeq, a predicted model, not a curated record
GUUUUUUAAGGGUUCAAAUUUGUCCACAGGGCUGCAGGCUUUGUUCUCCGUGUCUCGGUCUUGCUGCUGGCUCACAAGUCUGACAGUGCUCCGUAGCUCCUCAGGGAGGUCAUCAACGGGUCUUGUUUUGAAGAUAUGGACGACAUCAAGAUGGCCGUAACGAUGGACCUGUGGAGGAUCCUGGAAGAAUGCUACGAGGAGUGCAUGAAGAUGUGACAGAGAAUGCUGGGAAAGUGUUAUAAACUCCAGGGUAAUUACUCCGAAGGGGAAAACUUGUAGUUUGUAGCCUUAAAUGUUUUUUUUUUUUUGUAUUUGUUUGUUUUUUUGAAUUCUGAGGUGGAGAUGGCUCUGAUAUACCCGUAUAGUGAAAUACACAGGAUAAUUAAUUAUCGACCUGCGGAAGAAGCAUUUCCUUGUUCUGCCUGUCACUGGCAUCGAUAGAUGCACAAAGAUAAAUUAUUUGUUGUAAAUAAAUCAUCAUUUUCGGAACAAUUAAGUGACUCUUUCACGACACACUAAUGUGCCAUGGAACAGUGGUUAGGGAUUAUUCGAAUAAUUAACCUUUGUAGGGCCCUAUUGAUUGUAGGGACCUAGUUGGGGCAGUUAUGAGAAUACUUUUAACCCUAUAAAAUUGGUAUAGUGCAUUACAAAACUUUUUUUUAAUGAUUCUUAUUUCGUUAUACAUUUUGUCAUUGAAUGAGAAAACUCACAUGGUUUAAAAUGUCCAUUUUCCCUUAAAUUUAAGCUAGCAAAUAUGCUUCCUUGCUGAAGCCAACUUGAUUAAAAGGUGCGUCUCAAUACUUUUGUCCAUAUAGUGUUGAUUGUUUGCACUCAGAGUGGGCGAGUAGGCUGACAGAAUUCUUCACAGAAAGGUAAGUAAUAUACAUUGAUCCUGCGUGUGUGUGUGUCUUUGUGUUUUAUCGAUCUUUCUUGCAGACCUAAAGCUAUGACCAGGAAAUGAUCCAAUCAGCCAGAACGGCCUUUCUUUGAGUGCUGCCUCUGUGAUGAGAUUGAGAGGACUGCAUGGUUUCAAGCCAUCCAUCCAUCCAUCCAUCCAUUUUCUGAGCCGCUUCUCCUCACUAGGGUCGCGGGCGUGCUGGAGCCCAUCCCAGCUGUCAUCGGGCAGGAGGCGGGGUACACCCUGAACUGGUUGCCAGCCAAUCGCAGGGCACAUAGGAACAAACAACCAUUCGCACUCACAGUCAUGCCUACGGGCAAUUUAGAGUCUCCAAUUCAUGUAUGUUUUUGGGAUGUGGGAGGAAACCGGAGUACCCGGAGAAAACCCACGCAGGGACGGGGAGAACAUGCAAACUCCACACAGGCGGGGCCGGGGAUUGAACCCGGGUCCUCAGAACUGUGAGGCUGACGCUCUAACCAGUCGGACACCGUGCCGCCGGUUUCAAGCCAGCACAAUUAUUUUAAAUGAA